UGAAAACCGGUCUCAGUUCGGAUCGCAGUCUGCAACUCGACUGCGUGAAGGUGGAGUCGCUAGUAAUCGCGGAUCAGCAACGCCGCGGUGGAUGCGUUCCCGGGCCUUGUACACACCGCCCGUCAAGUCAUGAAAGUGGGCAGCACCCGAAGACGGUGGCCUAACCCUUGUGGGGGGAGCCGUCUAAGGUGAGGCUCGUGAUUGGGACUAAGUCGUAACAAGGUAUC
This 227-nucleotide ribosomal RNA is filed under the name uncultured bacterium. RNAcentral's name for it is "partial 16S ribosomal RNA". It matches the Rfam family "Bacterial small subunit ribosomal RNA", at positions 1276 to 1500 of the family's 1533-position model. The record is from RNAcentral.